RNAcentral lists this small RNA (571 nucleotides) under Pongo abelii (Sumatran orangutan). RNAcentral's name for it is "retained intron". The record is from RNAcentral. Lineage: Eukaryota; Metazoa; Chordata; Mammalia; Primates; Hominidae.
UUUUUCAUCCUUCCUAGAAAUGGUGUUGGGAUAGGCACUCUCAGAGCCCUUGAGAAGUGGGUGAGCAAGGGGACAUGGCAGCAGCCUAUGCUGAGGGUCCUUGGACCUUAUGCUAGGAUUACCAGCCCAGAGGGAUGCUUCGUACCGCUACACCUGGGAUCGGAGUCUGUUUCUGAUCUACCGACGCAAGGAGCUGCAGAGAAUCAUGGAAGAGCUGGAUUUCAGCCAGCAGGAUAUUGAUGGCCUGGAGGUGGUAGGCAAAGGGCGGCCCUUCUCGGCUGUUACUGUGGAAGACUACACAGUGUUUGAAAGAAGUCAGGGAAGCUCCUCUGAAGAGACAACAUACUUAGGCACACUGGCCAUUUCCUGUGAUGUCUCCAUGCCUAUUCUCGGCCCUUCUCUGCUGUUCUGUGGGAAGCCAGCUUGCUGGAUCAGAGGCAGUAAUCCACAGGACAAGAGGCAGGUUGGGAUUGCUGCUCACUUGACCUUUGAAACCCUGGAAGGUGAGAAAACCUCCUCAGAACUGAGUGUGGUCAAUAACGGCACUGUGGCCAUUUGGUAUGACUGGCGA